RNAcentral lists this unclassified non-coding RNA (265 nucleotides) under fungal sp. Its description in RNAcentral is "partial internal transcribed spacer region". The stretch from base 1 to 46 matches the Rfam family "Eukaryotic small subunit ribosomal RNA", at positions 1786 to 1831 of the family's 1831-position model. The record is from RNAcentral. Lineage: Eukaryota; Fungi.
AAGUCGUAACAAGGUUUCCGUAGGUGAACCUGCGGAAGGAUCAUUAACAAAUCUAUGAGCGAAAGCUCAUCAACCUUUGUGAAUUGGGUUGUAUAGUUGGUAACAAAUAUACAAUUUCGUUGGGGACCCUUUGUGUAAUAGAAAGAUUAUUUUGAAAAAUUAAUUUUUUCUAUUGCAUAUAUAUAUUAACAUUGUCUGAUUAUAGAUUGAAGUCGUAAGAUUUCAAAUAAAAAUACAACUUUUAACAAUGGAUCUCUAGGCUCUU